Neofelis nebulosa (Clouded leopard) is the source of this 3327-nucleotide long non-coding RNA. RefSeq lists it as uncharacterized. NCBI's taxonomy places the organism in Eukaryota, Metazoa, Chordata, Mammalia, Carnivora, Felidae. The record is from RefSeq and is a predicted model, not a curated record. The transcript is spliced from 2 exons.
GAGGAGCAAGGGCGUGCGGGCGGGCGGAGGCCGGGGUGGGUGGGGGGCGGUCGCCACCCCAGAUGCCCGCCCCGCCGGAACCCGCCGCCGCCGCCGCCGCCGCCGCGCUGGGCGCCUGCCAGAGGGCCCUCACCUGGGCCGCCGGCCGGGCCGCCGGAUUCCUCCGGGCGGGGCGGCGAGGCCGCGUCAGAGCGGGAAACCGAGGCUGGGGGAGGAAUUCGGGGCCCGGCCGGGUCACGCGGCCGCCGGGGCGGCCAGGUGGGGCUGGAACCCAGGCCUCUCAGCCCUUUCCCAGCCUCCCUUGCGCACGUGGGGGGCUCACCACCCCAGAGUCACUUCUCAUUAGUGCCGCUCCACUCGCCUCCGAGGAGGGGGCUCCAGGAGAGGGCACCCUUGGGCCAGGGGCUCCGAGAGCCGGAAGAGGGGCCGAAAGAACGAAGCUGGAGGCCCGGCUUCCCUGCCAACCCCCCCCCCCCCCCCCGCCCCCGAAUGGCUUCCUGGUGCCCACCCUGCCCCCACCCCCUUCGCCUUGUCUGGCCGAGCUGGCGGGGCUGGCUCUGGGCCUCAGACACUCUGGAAUCGCCAAGGUCUGAGCUCAGGGCCUGGCCCCCUUCCCAGGCUAACAGCCGGGAGGAGGGGGGUGCUGCUUGAGGGCCCAGGGGGCUGGGGAGGGGCACAGCAGGGCCCCAGGGCAGGGGUUGGCAGGGGCUGGGGAGGGGCCUUGGGUUUGGUAAAGCUUCAGAGGAGCCAGGCCUGUCCACUGGUCUGGAAAGGAAGCCCUGGAGGCCUGCUGUGUCCUGGGGCCUCAACUGUGCCCACAGGGCCUGGCCAGGAGACCCCAGGAUUCAGUGUCUGACUCACAGAACUCAGCAGGGGGUGGGUGUGACCAGGGUAUCCUGAGCAGCUCACUGCCAGGUCAGAGCAGCACCCAACCCUCUCCUGUUGGGCCCUGGGGGUGGCAGUCUGACCGGGGGAGGGCGUUCAGGGACUUGCCUUUAGGAACACCUGUCCAAGGAACUCAUGGUUUUUACUGUGAGGGUGGAUUUAUUUGGAUAGCUUUGGAGGGACUGAGGGAAACCCUUAAGUGGAGCCCCUGCCUGAAGUGCCCAGUGGGCUCUGACCUGUUCAUACAGCCUGGUGUUGCAGGGACGGGAUGAGGCCGUGUCCUCAAGGGAUCCCUACUGCUGGAGUCCCAAAGUGGAUACGAGAGACAGCCCCACCCUCCCUCGGGUCUCAGAUCACACACUGAGGCAGGGAAUAAUAGUGAGCGCUUACCACCUGCCAGGUUCAGGGCUGAGCGGGUCCGUAGUCAUUUUUUCCUCCUACUCAUUUGAACCUGACCCUCCUCUGUUGAGAACAGGCUGUGGCUCCCCUUGGAACACAGCACAAACAGACCAGGGUUGGAGUCUUAAUCUCUCCAAGCCCCAGUUUUCUCACCUGCGAAAUGGCGCUCUGUUCAUUCAACCAACUGAGAAUCCACCAGGUACCAAGCUCUUGCUAAGGUAUAGGACCCAUCCCUGCCUCACCUGGAGCCUCUGUAGAGGAGACUGACAUGCGACAAGUCAAUUCACAGGUGACUGUGGCUACAAUGGAGGCCUGCCGCUGCUGUGGUGGGACCUGGAGGUCCAGGAAGCCCCUCUGACAAAGGGACUUCUAAGCCGAAAGCUGGAGGAGGAACAGGAAUUCAUGGGGUGGGACUGUAUCAGGGCAAGAGGGGGUGUUGCUGCCAUCACCCCAGAAGAGAUGCUACAUCCUGGGCACAGUGGAGAUGUAUUUGGGAGCUGGAAUCUAGACACUGGGUGAGUGGCCGGUACCCGACAGGCAGGUGGCACGAAUGGCUCAGGGAGUCUGGCCUGAGCCCGAGGGUGGGUAAGGAAGGUGGCGGAGAGGGAGAUGCUGGGAAGAGCCUGGGGUUCUGUUUGGGGCCUUGCUGAGUCUGACAUGCUUGUGUCAUCCAGAUAGAGACAUCUCAACCCAGCGGUCUAGAACUCAGACAGAACGUCUGGCCCGAAGACACAGACUUGGGGUCCGUAGCAUACAGGGGCAUCGAUGGCCAUGGGAAAGGAUGGGCUCAGCCUGGGAGAGAAGCGGGCCCUUGGUCAACCAGGGAGGUCCCCACUCGCAGGUCAGGGAGAGGAGGCAGAGUCGGAAGUGACUCACAAAGAGCAGCAGGAGGGAGCACGGAGGAAAGAUUGAGAGGAGUGUUUGGGAGGAGUGUGUGGCCAGCAGUGUCCCCCGCUGCCAAAAGCAGGAGGGGGUGGUGACAGCCCUUCUUCAGGGGCUGCUGAGGAGACUCAGUGGCUUAAGACAGCGAAAGCAAGCACUCCGUCCAGUACCGGGCACAUUCUGAGUGCUUAGUAAGUGUUAUCUGUCGUCAUCACCAAACUCCUUAAGCUCAGUGGGGAGCCGGCAGGGAACAGAGGACACCUGCAUGUGGGUGAUUGAGGGGGCUGGAUGGGAGGGACCGCUUACAGAGGGCAAGGAGACCACCAGGGGCAACAGAGGGAAGCCCUGGCCGCUGAAGGAACUGGGGGGUGGGGGGGGGGGACCAACUACCCCACUAACCUAAGCCUGGAACCACAGGAGCUGGAGCUGGGGCCUGCAGCAGAGACCCUGGGCACCAGAGAGGGGACUGGGCUGAGGCAAUAUUACUCUCGUCUCCUCUUGUCCUGCUGGGCCUCCCAGGGGCUGAGCCCCAAAAGCAGCCUGUGGGCAGGGGCCCCUGGGAGGUUUCAGCACAUGAGGUUGGUCAUGGAGCAAGGAGGACAAAGAGGCAGAGCGGACCAGCAGGGUAGACUUUGACAGUCCAGCUCUUGGGGCCUGCCCCUGUCUAGCCUCGUCUCCUGCGUCACUAUACCCAGCACCCCAUCUCCCUAGGAUCUACCAGCAUGCUUCCAUGCCUCCUGGAUAGAGUUCUCCUGUAAGUCCAAGGAGACCAUGACCUUUUCGGUCAUUCCAGAUCGUUUCUGCUGCCCAACGGGUCUCCCCACUGCCACUUCUGCCCUCGUCCGUCUUCUACCUGGUGCCAGAGCUGCCUUUUUUGUUGUUGUUGUAACUUUGUUUAUUGAGAGAGAGAGAGAGAGAGAGUGCGAGCCGAGUAGGGACAGAGAGAAAGGGCAGAGAGAGAAUCCCAAGCAGUUUCUGCACCAUCAGUGCAGAGCCCUACAUGGGGCUCGAACCUGCAAACUGUGAGAUCAUGACCCCAGCCGAAAUCAAGAGUCCGAUGCCCUGCGUUGGGCUCUGUGCUCUCAGCACGGAGCGUGCUUGUGAUUCUCUCUCCCUCCUGCUCACACGUGCGUGUGUGCUUUCUCUCUCUCUCUCUCUCUC